CCGAUCGCGUCACACUCAAGGUCCAAAGAUGGUGUGCGCACUUGUUUGUGGUCAUUUACCAUUAUAAUGAACGGGAGGCGCAGUUUCUACCAAAACGCUCGCUGCAGAAAAACUCCAUGUCCUAUUUGAAAAAAGUCUGGACCAUGAGUGAGGGCACAAACACAGCUAAGAUAUAUCCAAAUGGCAAGUUGCUCCUCCUUUCGCUUUUGCCGAGAGAGCAGUGCGUUUGAGCCAUUGAAUGAUGAACAGGAAAAACUUGACUUUAUUCUCCUGCCAUGGGGGGGCGCUCUUUUAAAGAGAAAAAACUCCUUCACAAAUGUGUUGCUGGCUGGACAUUGCAUCAUCCUAGAAAACAUGGAGGCCAGUGAGGACAAAAAUAAAAAGUUAUAAGACUUUUAAAUAUGUGGAUUUUAGGGUUAUAUUUGGCGCCCCCUAGAACCUAAACCGUGGGGUGCAGCGUCAUGAUUUGAAUAACUUUUAAUGGCCAUGGGGUGUAGAUUGGCCUGAGCAAAUGUGGUGCCGGUGGAACGAAAGCCUUCGGAGGAAUUAGCGAAAUUCCAAUGUGUGCGAAUCUGCAAAAAAUGCGAAAUAACCCUUUAACCGUACAUUUUACAGAUACGUGGCCAUUGACUUUUUCGAAGAUCUUAUGUAAAUACACGUGUAUGUAAAAUUUUGUGUCAAUACGACAAAACAUACAGGCGUAGCACUCAACAAUGUGUAUUUUCACCUUAGUGGACAAGAAAAAAUUGACUUUUUUCUCCUGCCAUGGGGGGCGCUCUUUUGCCGAGUAAAAAUUCCUUCACAAAUGUGUUGAUGGCUGGACAUUGCAUCAUCCUAGAAAACUUGGAGGCCAGUGGGGACAAAAAUAAAAAGUUAUAAGACUUUUAAAUAUGUGGAUUUUAGGGUUAUAUUUGGCGCCCCCUAGAACCUAAACCGUGGGGUGCAGCGUCAUGAUUUGAAUAACUUUUAAUGGCCAUGGGGUGUAGAUUGGCCUGAGCAAAUGUGGUGCCGGUGGAACGAAAGCCUUUGGAGGAAUUAGCGAAAUUCCAAUGUGUGCGAAUCUGCAAAAAAUGCGAAAUAACCCUUUAACCGUACAUUUUACAGAUACGUGGCCAUUGACUUUUUCGAAGAUCUUAUGUAAAUACACGUGUAUGUAAAAUUUUGUGUCAAUACGACAAAACAUACAGGCGUAGCACUCAACAAUGUGUAUUUUCACCUUAGUGGACAAGAAAAAAUGGACUUUUUUCUCCUGCCAUGGGGGGGCGCUCUUUUGCCGAGUAAAAAUUCCUUCACAAAUGUGUUGAUGGCUGGACAUUGCAUCAUCCUAGAAAACUUGGAGGCCAGUGGGGACAAAAAUAAAAAGUUAUAAGACUUUUAAAUAUGUGGAUUUUAUGGUUAUCUUUGGCUCCCCCUAGAACCUAAACCGUGGGGUGCAGCGUCAUGAUUUGAAUAACUUUUAAUGGCCAUGGGGUGUAGAUUGGCCUGAGCAAAUGUGGUGCCGGUGGAACGAAAGC
Xyrichtys novacula (pearly razorfish) is the source of this 1514-nucleotide non-coding RNA. The record is from the annotation of a GenBank genome assembly. NCBI's taxonomy places the organism in Eukaryota, Metazoa, Chordata, Actinopteri, Labriformes, Labridae.